RNAcentral lists this transfer RNA (85 nucleotides) under Bacillota bacterium. Its description in RNAcentral is "tRNA-Ser". It matches the Rfam family "tRNA". From Rfam's summary of the family: Transfer RNA (tRNA) molecules are approximately 80 nucleotides in length. Their secondary structure includes four short double-helical elements and three loops (D, anti-codon, and T loops). The record is from RNAcentral. Lineage: Bacteria; Bacillati; Bacillota. RNAcentral also lists the same sequence under 2 other names.
GGAGGAGUGGCUGAGUGGUUGAAAGCGGCGGUCUUGAAAACCGUUGUGCCGCAAGGCACCGUGGGUUCGAAUCCUACCUCCUCCG